GGGUUGUGAGGUUAAGCGACUAAGCGUACACGGUGGAUGCCCUGGCAGUCAGAGGCGAUGAAGGACGUGCUAAUCUGCGAUAAGCGCCGGUAAGGUGAUAUGAACCGUUAUAACCGGCGAUUUCCGAAUGGGGAAACCCAGUGUGACUCGUCACACUAUCAUUAACUGAAUCCAUAGGUUAAU
RNAcentral lists this ribosomal RNA (183 nucleotides) under Salmonella enterica subsp. enterica serovar Javiana. Its description in RNAcentral is "partial 23S ribosomal RNA". It matches the Rfam family "Bacterial large subunit ribosomal RNA", at positions 1 to 175 of the family's 2925-position model. Lineage: Bacteria; Pseudomonadati; Pseudomonadota; Gammaproteobacteria; Enterobacterales; Enterobacteriaceae. The record is from RNAcentral.